Molecule: long non-coding RNA, 1120 nt
Filed under: Zea mays
Lineage: Eukaryota; Viridiplantae; Streptophyta; Magnoliopsida; Poales; Poaceae
Description: long non-coding RNA (ZMAY_LNC005419)
Source: RNAcentral
CGCCCCCCCUGCCCACCUCCUCCUCCCUCCAUUGUUGCAGCCACCAAAACCCUAGCCGCCCCCCCCCCCAAUCCCCUCCUCCCUAGGUGCUACUCCGUGCCGCUCGGAUCAUUGUCUUUUGGUGCGAAUCUCCAAUCGUUUUGGUGGAAGGAAGAAGGGAGGAAGGAAAAGGGGAGAACCCAAGGUGGUGGACUUCCGGAUCGUUCUUAGGGAUUUUGCCCGAACUUCGGUAAAGGCAAGUAAAAUAGUGAUGGUUAUUUCGUCUUUUGAUUGAAGAGUCUCAUACUUGAUUAUGUUUGUGCUAUUUGUGUUCGUAUCCAUAUUCCUAAUUGGGUACCAUCGUUUGAAAUUAUUCAUGCUUUAUUGAUUAUACAUGUGGAGGGUGUGGUUUGAUCAUGUUACCCAUGUGGUUAUUGAUGUGAAAUGGGUGGAAGUAUAUGUCUAGCACAUUUUAUUUGGGAAGAACUCAUGUUGUUGACAUGCAUAAUGCAUUCAUCAUCCAUUGCAUUGAAGUUUUCGUCGCGAUCUUAUGGUCCGACCGUACCGGUACAAUGAGCAUCAUAUGUUUCCCGAGAAGGGGUAUGAUGCAGCUUCAUAUCCUUAGAGGUAUGAAGGCAGAAGUCAUGUUGCAUCUGUAGCCAUGUGCAUUCAUGGGUGAAGUGUGGAACCUAUUUUGGUGAUGUGGAUAAGGUGGAUCUUUACUUUGUAAUUCAUCUUGGCAUUGAGUAAUUGAUUACUUGCUUACUUGCUGCAAAUUAAUAUUCAAGGAAGAAGUUGGGAACCAUGUGGUUGCUUAUGCACGGUUGGCUUGCAUUGUCCAACUGUUGUUUGUUUUUUUUUACUUGCUGAGAUGUGUCAUCUCACUCUUGCAUUGUCUGAUGCAGGCACCUGAUCUUUGCUUUGGGAAAGAAGGGAUGUAGCAGCACGGCCACCACACUUUUAAAUAAAGGAAUAACUGAUUAUUAAUGAUGUUAAACAGGAAGGGUCAAGUCUAGGGAAUUAUUACAUUCUAAUCUUUCAUGGUAGUUGAACUGUUUAGUUUGGUGGGCUGAGAUGUCUAUCUUUUGUCUGGUCAUGAAUGUUCUUUUCUACCGUUGCAUUUUGAUUAUACUAUGGCAAU